GAUGAACGCUGGCGGCGUGCCUAACACAUGCAAGUCGAACGGAAAGGCGCGGCUUUUGCGGGGUUCCCGAGUGGGGAAGGGGUGUGAAACACGGGAGUAACCUGUCCGUGACUGAGGGAGAACUUCAGGAGACUGGGGAUCAUACCGGGUAGGAGCUCCUGAAGCGUGGGGGGGGUUGGAAAGAGUCGGUGGUGUGGGCAGGACUCGCGGCGUCUCAGCUGGUUGGUGGGGUAGUGGCCUAACAAGGCGACGAGGCGGAUCCGGCCGGAGGGGCUGAUCGGCCACACUGGAACGGAGACACGGUCCAGACUCCUACGGGAGGGACCAGUCGGGAACGGUAGGCAAUGGGCGAAAGCCUGACACAGCGAGGCCGCGUGUGUGAAGAAGGUCUUCCGAUCGGAAAGCCCUGUUUCUGGUGAUGAACCGCUGUGUCCUGAGACAUGGCGGGAUUGACGGUACUGAGUCAAGAAGCACCGGCUAACUACGUG
This 488-nucleotide ribosomal RNA is filed under the name uncultured bacterium. RNAcentral's name for it is "partial 16S ribosomal RNA". It matches the Rfam family "Bacterial small subunit ribosomal RNA", at positions 28 to 507 of the family's 1533-position model. The record is from RNAcentral.